UCGCUUAGUCCCUUCAACCGAACCUAGUGCGACUGUCACUCCAGCUACAACUGAGCCUACCAAGACUGUUUCUCCAGCUGCAACUGAACUGCUAGAAUCUAGUGAGAACAAGGUUUCAGUUGAUGCCAAUAACGAUGCCGGCAAAGAAGCUGAAAAGGGGGAUGGUGAGGAUAACAAGCAGUCUGAAAGCAAGAUUGACGAGCCAGUGGCUGUAGAAGCUGCCAGCAGUGAACCUGAAAAGGGUGAAGAUGAGAGUAGUAAGCAGACAGAAAGCAAGAAUGAGCCAGCAUCUGCAGAUGCUGCAGGCAAGAAGAGUUCUGAUGAUAAGGAGAAUGGCGCUGAAAAAUCAGAGGUAGACA
RNAcentral lists this long non-coding RNA (359 nucleotides) under Citrus sinensis (sweet orange). RNAcentral's name for it is "long non-coding RNA (CSIN_LNC000286)". Lineage: Eukaryota; Viridiplantae; Streptophyta; Magnoliopsida; Sapindales; Rutaceae. The record is from RNAcentral.